This 432-nucleotide ribosomal RNA is filed under the name uncultured bacterium. RNAcentral's name for it is "partial 16S ribosomal RNA". It matches the Rfam family "Bacterial small subunit ribosomal RNA", at positions 29 to 506 of the family's 1533-position model. The record is from RNAcentral.
AACGAACGCUGGCGGCAUGCCUAACACAUGCAAGUCGAACGAGACCUUCGGGUCUAGUGGCGCACGGGUGCGUAACGCGUGGGAACCUGCCCUUAGGUUCGGAAUAACUCCCCGAAAGGGGUGCUAAUACCGGAUAAUGUCUUCGGACCAAAGAUUUAUCGCCUUUGGAUGGGCCCGCGUUGGAUUAGCUAGUUGGUAGGGUAAAAGCCUACCAAGGCGACGAUCCAUAGCUGGUCUGAGAGGAUGAUCAGCCACACUGGGACUGAGACACGGCCCAGACUCCUACGGGAGGCAGCAGUGGGGAAUAUUGGACAAUGGGCGAAAGCCUGAUCCAGCAAUGCCGCGUGAGUGAUGAAGGCCUUAGGGUUGUAAAGCUCUUUUACCCGGGAUGAUAAUGACAGUACCGGGAGAAUAAGCUCCGGCGAACUCCGG